UGACAAAGUUUAACGGCCGCGGUAUCCUAACCGUGCGAAGGUAGCAUAAUCACUUGUUUUUUAAAUAAAGACUAGUAUCAACGGCAUCACGAGGGUUAUACUGUCUCCUUUCUCCAAUCAGUGAAACUGAUUUCCCCAUGAAGAAGCGGGGAUAAAACUAUAAGACGAGAAGACCCCAUGGAGCUUUAAGCUCAACAACAACUCUGUGUAACUUAUUCUUUAUAACCUACGAGUCCUGUUUGUUAGCUUUAGGUUGGGGUGACCGCGGAGUAUAACUAAACCUCCAUGACAAACGGGAUUUAACCCUUUAUCCAAGAGCUACUGCUCUAAGAAUCAUAAAAUUGAUGUAAAUGAUCCGAUUUUUCGAUCAACGAACCAAGUUACCCUGGGGAUAACAGCGCAAUCCAUUUCAAGAGCUCCUAUCGACAAAUGGGUUUACGACCUCGAUGUUGGAUCAGGGUAUCCUAGUGGUGC
This 474-nucleotide ribosomal RNA is filed under the name Anhydrophryne hewitti (Natal chirping frog). RNAcentral's name for it is "partial 16S ribosomal RNA". It matches the Rfam family "Bacterial large subunit ribosomal RNA", at positions 1910 to 2556 of the family's 2925-position model. Lineage: Eukaryota; Metazoa; Chordata; Amphibia; Anura; Pyxicephalidae. The record is from RNAcentral.